Molecule: ribosomal RNA, 478 nt
Filed under: uncultured bacterium
Lineage: Bacteria
Description: partial 16S ribosomal RNA
Rfam family: Bacterial small subunit ribosomal RNA
Source: RNAcentral
GACGAACGCUGGCGGCGUGCUUAACACAUGCAAGUCGAACGGGAUUUAGUAGACAGAAGCCUCGGCUAAAGAUUACUAAUGAGAGUGGCGAACGGGUGAGUAACGCGUGAGCAACCUGCCUAUGACAGUGGGAUAGCCUCGGGAAACCGGGAUUAAUACCGCAUAAAAUCGUAGAAACACAUGUUUCAACGGUCAAAGAUUUAUCGGUCAUAGAUGGGCUCGCGUCUGAUUAGCUAGUUGGUGAGAUAACAGCCCACCAAGGCGACGAUCAGUAGCCGGUCUGAGAGGAUGACCGGCCACAUUGGAACUGAGACACGGUCCAAACUCCUACGGGAGGCAGCAGUGGGGAAUAUUGCACAAUGGGGGAAACCCUGAUGCAGCGACGCCGCGUGAACGAAGAAGGUAUUCGUAUCGUAAAGUUCUGUCCUAUGGGAAGAUAAUGACAGUACCAUAGAAGAAAGCGCCGGCUAAAUACGUG